ACGGCUCAGUAACACGUGGAUAACCUGCCCUAAGGAAGGGGAUAACCUCGGGAAACUGAGGAUAAUACCCUAUAGGUUACAGACGCUGGAAUGCCCUGUAACCGAAAGUUCCGGCGCCUUAGGAUGGAUCUGCGGCCGAUUAGGUUGUUGUUGGGGUAACGGCCCAACAAGCCGAUAAUCGGUACGGGUUGUGGGAGCAAGAGCCCGGAGUUGGAUUCUGAGACAUGAAUCCAGGCCCUACGGGGCGCAGCAGGCGCGAAAACUUUACAAUGCGGGAAACCGUGAUAAGGGAACCCCGAGUGCCUGUAUAUGCAGGCUGUCCAGGUGUCUAAAAAACACCUGAAGAAAGGGCCGGGCAAGACCGGUGCCAGCCGCCGCGGUAAUACCGGCGGCUCGAGUGGUGGCCACUUUUAUUGGGCUUAAAGCGUUCGUAGCUGGGUUGUUAAGUCUCUUGGGAAAUCUGACGGCUCAACCGUCAGGCGUCCAAGGGAUACUGGCAAUCUUGGAACCGGGAGAGGUGAGGGGUACUUCGGGGGUAGGAGUGAAAUCCUGUAAUCCUCGAGGGACCACCUGUGGCGAAGGCGCCUCACCAGAACGGCUUCGACAGUGAGGGACGAAAGCUGGGGGAGCAAACCGGAUUAGAUACCCGGGUAGUCCCAGCCGUAAACGAUGCGCGUUAGGUGUAUCGGUGACCACGAGUCACCGAGGUGCCGAAGGGAAACUGUGAAACGUGCCGCCUGGGAAGUACGGUCGCAAGGCUGAAACUUAAAGGAAUUGGCGGGGGAGCAC
Molecule: ribosomal RNA, 789 nt
Filed under: uncultured Methanoculleus sp.
Lineage: Archaea; Methanobacteriati; Methanobacteriota; Methanomicrobia; Methanomicrobiales; Methanomicrobiaceae
Description: bacterial SSU rRNA
Rfam family: Archaeal small subunit ribosomal RNA
Source: RNAcentral